GCGCCUGUGGCUCAAGGAUUGGGGCGCCAGCCCCAUAUGCUGGAGGUGGCAGGUUCAAACCCUGCCUGGCCA
RNAcentral lists this transfer RNA (72 nucleotides) under Otolemur garnettii (small-eared galago). It matches the Rfam family "tRNA". Rfam says of the family: Transfer RNA (tRNA) molecules are approximately 80 nucleotides in length. Their secondary structure includes four short double-helical elements and three loops (D, anti-codon, and T loops). Further hydrogen bonds mediate the characteristic L-shaped molecular structure. tRNAs have two regions of fundamental functional importance: the anti-codon, which is responsible for specific mRNA codon recognition, and the 3' end, to which the tRNAs corresponding amino acid is attached (by aminoacyl-tRNA synthetases). tRNAs cope with the degeneracy of the genetic code in two manners: having more than one tRNA (with a specific anti-codon) for a particular amino acid; and 'wobble' base-pairing, i.e. permitting non-standard base-pairing at the 3rd anti-codon position. Lineage: Eukaryota; Metazoa; Chordata; Mammalia; Primates; Galagidae. The record is from Rfam by way of RNAcentral.